GGGAGUUUAGCUCAGCUGGGAGAGCAUCUGCCUUACAAGCAGGGGGUCAUAGGUUCAAGUCCUAUAACUCCCACCA
RNAcentral lists this transfer RNA (76 nucleotides) under Clostridiaceae bacterium. Its description in RNAcentral is "tRNA-Val". It matches the Rfam family "tRNA". From Rfam's summary of the family: Transfer RNA (tRNA) molecules are approximately 80 nucleotides in length. Their secondary structure includes four short double-helical elements and three loops (D, anti-codon, and T loops). The record is from RNAcentral. Lineage: Bacteria; Bacillati; Bacillota; Clostridia; Eubacteriales; Clostridiaceae. RNAcentral also lists the same sequence under 1 other name.